AACGGCCGUACCAUGCUGAAUAUACCGGUUCUCGUUAGAUCACCUAAGUCAAGCAUCAUUGGCAGUACUUGGGUGGGUGACCACCUGGGAACACCGCGUGCCGUU
Molecule: ribosomal RNA, 105 nt
Filed under: Caerostris darwini
Lineage: Eukaryota; Metazoa; Arthropoda; Arachnida; Araneae; Araneidae
Source: RNAcentral